RNAcentral lists this ribosomal RNA (1341 nucleotides) under Streptomyces mutabilis. RNAcentral describes it as "bacterial SSU rRNA". It matches the Rfam family "Bacterial small subunit ribosomal RNA", at positions 78 to 1426 of the family's 1533-position model. Lineage: Bacteria; Bacillati; Actinomycetota; Actinomycetes; Kitasatosporales; Streptomycetaceae. The record is from RNAcentral.
CUUCGGGUGGGGAUUAGUGGCGAACGGGUGAGUAACACGUGGGCAAUCUGCCCUGCACUCUGGGACAAGCCCUGGAAACGGGGUCUAAUACCGGAUACUGACCCUCGCAGGCAUCUGCGAGGUUCGAAAGCUCCGGCGGUGCAGGAUGAGCCCGCGGCCUAUCAGCUAGUUGGUGAGGUAAUGGCUCACCAAGGCGACGACGGGUAGCCGGCCUGAGAGGGCGACCGGCCACACUGGGACUGAGACACGGCCCAGACUCCUACGGGAGGCAGCAGUGGGGAAUAUUGCACAAUGGGCGAAAGCCUGAUGCAGCGACGCCGCGUGAGGGAUGACGGCCUUCGGGUUGUAAACCUCUUUCAGCAGGGAAGAAGCGAAAGUGACGGUACCUGCAGAAGAAGCGCCGGCUAACUACGUGCCAGCAGCCGCGGUAAUACGUAGGGCGCAAGCGUUGUCCGGAAUUAUUGGGCGUAAAGAGCUCGUAGGCGGCUUGUCACGUCGGUUGUGAAAGCCCGGGGCUUAACCCCGGGUCUGCAGUCGAUACGGGCAGGCUAGAGUUCGGUAGGGGAGAUCGGAAUUCCUGGUGUAGCGGUGAAAUGCGCAGAUAUCAGGAGGAACACCGGUGGCGAAGGCGGAUCUCUGGGCCGAUACUGACGCUGAGGAGCGAAAGCGUGGGGAGCGAACAGGAUUAGAUACCCUGGUAGUCCACGCCGUAAACGGUGGGCACUAGGUGUGGGCAACAUUCCACGUUGUCCGUGCCGCAGCUAACGCAUUAAGUGCCCCGCCUGGGGAGUACGGCCGCAAGGCUAAAACUCAAAGGAAUUGACGGGGGCCCGCACAAGCGGCGGAGCAUGUGGCUUAAUUCGACGCAACGCGAAGAACCUUACCAAGGCUUGACAUACACCGGAAAACCCUGGAGACAGGGUCCCCCUUGUGGUCGGUGUACAGGUGGUGCAUGGCUGUCGUCAGCUCGUGUCGUGAGAAUGUUGGGUAAGUCCCGCAACGAGCGCAACCCUUGUCCCGUGUUGCCAGCAGGCCCUUGUGGUGCUGGGGACUCACGGGAGACCGCCGGGGUCAACUCGGAGGAAGGUGGGGACGACGUCAAGUCAUCAUGCCCCUUAUGUCUUGGGCUGCACACGUGCUACAAUGGCCGGUACAAUGAGCUGCGAUACCGCGAGGUGGAGCGAAUCUCAAAAAGCCGGUCUCAGUUCGGAUUGGGGUCUGCAACUCGACCCCAUGAAGUCGGAGUCGCUAGUAAUCGCAGAUCAGCAUUGCUGCGGUGAAUACGUUCCCGGGCCUUGUACACACCGCCCGUCACGUCACGAAAGUCGGUAACACCCGAAG